GGAAACAAACUGUACUACUUUGUGCCCAUUACUGUCACAGAAAGUAUGUUGACAGUGCCUCGAAGCCAACUAGGUUCCUGAUUUGUUUUUCUGGUAAUGGUGAAUUGAGAAAGCAAUCCAUGGGUCUCCCCCUUUCUGUUUGAAUAUACAAUACUUUCUUCAUUGUGGUAAGUCACAUGAUUUUUAAAAUGCUGCUACAUUUAAAGUACAAGGAGACCCUCAGAAAUAGAGCAAGAAAGGGAUGGAGGGUAACAAUAUCUGCAAUUAUCAAAGCUACAAGUACAGGUGUCCGAUGUUACGAUAAAAAGAGUGAGGUAGCAUUCACCAGAUGUCCUCACCUUUGUGAGUCAGUCCUUUGGCGUCUCUAUCCACCCUGACAGAGAACAGGCAAAAUUUUGUCACAUUUACUGUAGUGCAUCCUGAAAGUGGCUGUCUCUGUGGAACUGUGGAAACCCCAGUUUUGCCAAUGGCCAUGGAUCAUACAAUGACUUGAGUGACAGAAAGAGAGUAGGGGUGUCAGAGAGAGAGAGAGAGAGAGAGAGAGAGAGAGUGAGUUUUAUUGACACCAAAAGAGAAAGCUUUUCUUUGGAUUCCAUGGGAUUUGUGAGGCAUCUCGUUUUAGCAUAUCCAGGUGGGCACCUGGCUACCUCACUCAUUAAUGAACUCUCCU
Molecule: long non-coding RNA, 670 nt
Filed under: Mus musculus (house mouse)
Lineage: Eukaryota; Metazoa; Chordata; Mammalia; Rodentia; Muridae
Description: lincRNA-EC132
Source: RNAcentral